UACGUAGGGAGCAAGCGUUGUUCGGAUUUACUGGGCGUAAAGGGCGCGUAGGCGGCAAAUUAAGUCAGCUGUGAAAUCUCCGAGCUUAACUCGGAACGGUCAGCUGAUACUGAUCUGCUAGAGUGCGGAAGGGGCAAUCGGAAUUCUUGGUGUAGCGGUGAAAUGCGUAGAUAUCAAGAGGAACACCUGAGGUGAAGACGGGUUGCUGGGCCGACACUGACGCUGAGUGCGCGAAAGCCAGGGGAGCAAACGGGGAUUAGAACCGUCCUGUCA
RNAcentral lists this ribosomal RNA (273 nucleotides) under uncultured bacterium. RNAcentral describes it as "partial 16S ribosomal RNA". It matches the Rfam family "Bacterial small subunit ribosomal RNA", at positions 524 to 792 of the family's 1533-position model. The record is from RNAcentral.